Molecule: unclassified non-coding RNA, 250 nt
Filed under: uncultured fungus
Lineage: Eukaryota; Fungi
Description: partial contains 5.8S ribosomal RNA, internal transcribed spacer 2, and large subunit ribosomal RNA
Source: RNAcentral
AACGCACAUUGCGCCCACCAGCAUUCUGAUGGGCAUGCCUGUUCGAGCGUCAUUUCAACCCUCAGGCACCGCCUGGUGUUGGGCCCCGUGGGAGACCACAGGCCCGAAAGACAGUGGCGGGCUCUGCACGACCCCUAGCGUAGUACAUCUCCUCGCUCAGGGCGUCUGCGGCGGACCAGCCGUCAAAACGCGCUGUUACCAGCACUACAAAGUUGACCUCGGAUCAGGUAGGAAUACCCGCUGAACUUAA